AAUAUGGGCGUGUGAGGCUGUGGGGUCAACCGCUCAUUCAGAAACAAGCAAAGCUCUCGAGGAAGGAAGUCAGCUUGCAAGGUCGUGUCGUUCGGUGAUCCACCCUUCUUAACAGUCCGGGCAGCUGAAGAGAUGGCUCAGCAGUGAAGAGGACUUGCUACUCUCCCAGAGGACACAAUUCUCAGCCACCUUGUGUCAAGUCGACAUAAAACUAACCAGCACACACAAAGGAGCGUAUGCAGAUGACUGCUUAGUUCGGAGUCGCCCAGCACUGUUUGUCCAGACUUAAGCACUGCCGAAGACCUCUGUAGUUCCUGUCACGUGCAUUUCUCACUGUUGGUACUGUUGGCUAUUCAGCAGAGAAAGCCUUCCCUGCCAGCCUCCCUUUAUUUGCUUUGCACACACGGUAAACUUUGUAAACUCUGCAGGAAAGUGUCUGCACCCCUGCUGAGGAGCUCCAGCAGCCAGGCCAGGCGGCUUCAAGUUCUGCCUCUGGGCUCCCCCUACAUCUUUCCCUGGAUCCCCCUCUUCAGCUCCCCGAGUGCCACACUCUGUGGGUCCCUGGAAGGGGUGCUCCGAUCUUCAAGCUGUGCUGCUGGCCUCUCUACACCUCCAGACAGCAACACCUCAGGACUCCAGGACUGCUGAGGCUAACCUCCACAGCCCUUAGACCUGAGACAAGACGCCUGGAGAAACUGAGAAGCUGAAGCCACAGAGAAAACCACAGAACCUGAGGCCUUGGUUAUGGCUGCUGCUGUCAGAGAACUGUGGAGGGAGGUGUGUUCAACUGGAGCUAGUGUGUGAGCUCCAGGCACUGUCUUUGUGGCAACAAUGUAUAAACUAGCCAUUCCUCCAAGGCAGUGAGCUUUACAUAGUCUGACACUGCCAGCCAGGGACCAGAACUAGAAAUCUGACCCUUUAGUAUAAUAAGUUCAUAGUUUACUUAAGGAAAGUUGUUUUGUUUAGAGUUCAAGUCCCUGUAAACCCCCUAGGGCAUGAGUUAAUAGACCCCUCCCCCCACACCUCUCUAACUGUCUAACUGGCAGUUUCAGCCUCUAACUGUUAAACCGGUCAUCUCCAGCCCAUCAGUGGGUCCCCUCCCAGAUUUAUGCUAAUUUCAGGUAAAAAGACUGAACAAAAACCCACCAAUCCCUAAACUUCCCCCAAGCUCAGGACUUGAAAUCCCACCAAUCCUCUCUCUGGAAAUCCCUGCCCUGGAAAGCCCCACCCCCUAAAAAUAGAUUAUAUGAAGGCUGUGUUUGCCCAGCUUUCUGCUGUCUUCAUCUGGUAGCAAAGGCAGGAACUCCGGGAUUUUUCUCUCUUCUUCUGGAUUCCUCCCUCCAAUACAUCUCUUUUUAGGAGAUUUGUUGCCUGGUGUGACUCUUUUUUUUUU
Molecule: long non-coding RNA, 1393 nt
Organism: Psammomys obesus (fat sand rat)
Lineage: Eukaryota; Metazoa; Chordata; Mammalia; Rodentia; Muridae
Exons: 3
Source: RefSeq, a predicted model, not a curated record